UCGGAUAAGAGGCUGAAACUCGCCUCUUGUAAGUCGGAAUCGCUAGUAAUCGCAGAUCAGCAUGUUGCGGUGAAUACGUUUCCUGGUCUUGUACACACCGCCCGUCAAACCAUGAGAGUCGCCAACACCCGAAGUCCGCUUUGCGGCCUAAGGUGGGGGAGAUGAUUGGGGUUAAGUCGUAACAAGGUAAC
RNAcentral lists this ribosomal RNA (191 nucleotides) under uncultured bacterium. RNAcentral's name for it is "partial 16S ribosomal RNA". It matches the Rfam family "Bacterial small subunit ribosomal RNA", at positions 1293 to 1500 of the family's 1533-position model. The record is from RNAcentral.